GCUUGUCACAAACCUUAUCUCGAAUUGGUGUUCUGGAAGCUCAGAUUUCAUGUCUCAGAGCAGAGCAGAUGCAGUUAAGUAAGUCCCUUGAAAAAGAGAGACAGAGAGCAGCUGAAAAUAGGCAGGAAUACCUUGCAGCCAAGGAGGAAGCUGACACUCAAGAAGGUCGUGUGAACCAACUUGAAGGGGAAAUUAAAGAACUCAGGCAGAAACACAAGCAAGAGUUACAAGAUGCCCUGAUUCACAGGGAGCUUCUACAGCAGGAAAUUGAGAGGG
This 276-nucleotide unclassified non-coding RNA is filed under the name Hevea brasiliensis (rubber tree). Lineage: Eukaryota; Viridiplantae; Streptophyta; Magnoliopsida; Malpighiales; Euphorbiaceae. The record is from RNAcentral.